CCACGGCACAGUCUCUGUGACUCAUUCCAACCGGCCACCCCAUCAUUUCCCUGCUGGGCACGAGCCAAUCGAGACAUUAUAGUCUGAGUUGCACUGGGCUUCUGCUAAGGGAGCCAGCUGGAAUUAACGAGUGACAAAGCCUGUGUUUACAGGGCUCUUCCUCUGACUUCACAGCAAGGAGUUCACAAAGUCACUGCUAUUUUUUCUUGGGGUCCAUACCACUGGUCCAUUAGCUUGGAAAGGCAGCUGGUUUAGCCUCUGCACAAGGGAUGCUUCACUGUCCAUGAAGACCCAGCAACUGGGCCUCAUAUCUAAGCCCUCUGGUCCCUUUCCAGUGUAGGUUUCAGGCCCAUUUGGCAAAUUCAACCCCACCUCAGGGCAGCUCUGUGGCCCUGAAAGCAACUCCCAGCCAUCCUCAGCGUACAUCUGUGAACUCUGUGGCCCUUCCGGUCCCUCCUCAGUGUAGAUUUGCAGGAACAGCACUGCUGUCAGCGCUAGAAGCCAUCGUUUUGCCCCGCUCGGCUCUCCCCGCGGACGAGGCCUCCUGACCAGGGGCGGGUACAAGACUUUGGGAGUGCGGCGUCGAGUGGGGGACACAGAGAUGUCCAGGUGUCCAACUGUGACCCUUUUCCAGUGGGCAGAGAUGCUCUUCUCUGAAAGAAGACCACACACUUUGCGGAGGUGUUGGUCUCCCAGGAGGAACCUUGCCCAUGACUCAGAGGGAUUUAUUAUAUGUUUGCCAACAUGUUUAGAUCCGAGGCCACGAGCCUCCGCACGGUUUGCUGCUUGUUUUUACCAGUCGGCCGGUCUUAUUUGUAGAAACCCCUCAGGGGAAGGAGUUUCAUUGCCGUUUUUAGUCACAGUUUGGAAUCCCCAUCAAGGAGUUGGAUUAAACCGUAACCAUGACACAGAACUCUCUCCCAUUUCUCUUUCAAAUGGCCUAUUUUGGGGAAUUUCAUUUAAAAUUCAAAAAUACAAAACAUAAAAAGUAUAAAGGAGCGUGCUGACACUUUGUAUGCUUCUUUACAGCAAAUGGG
RNAcentral lists this long non-coding RNA (1037 nucleotides) under Scleropages formosus (Asian bonytongue). Its description in RNAcentral is "lncRNA (ENSSFOG00015026956.1)". The record is from RNAcentral. Lineage: Eukaryota; Metazoa; Chordata; Actinopteri; Osteoglossiformes; Osteoglossidae.